RNAcentral lists this ribosomal RNA (457 nucleotides) under uncultured soil bacterium. RNAcentral describes it as "bacterial SSU rRNA". It matches the Rfam family "Bacterial small subunit ribosomal RNA", at positions 26 to 500 of the family's 1533-position model. The record is from RNAcentral.
AGAGCGAACGCUGGCGGCAGGCCUAAUACAUGCAAGUCGAGCGGCCACUUCGGUGGCAGCGGCGGACGGGUGAGUAACGCGUGGGAAUGUGCCCUUUGGUACGGAACAACUGAGGGAAGCUUCAGCUAAUACCGUAUGUGCCCUUCGGGGGAAAGAUUUAUUGCCAUUGGAGCAGCCCGCGUUGGAUUAGCUAGUUGGUGGGGUAAAGGCCCACAAGGCGACGAUCCAUAGCUGGUCUGAGAGGAUGAUCAGCCACACUGGGACUGAGACACGGCCCAGACUCCUACGGGAGGCAGCAGUAGGGAAUCUUGCGCAAGUGGGCGAAAGCCUGACGCAGCCAUGCCGCGUGAAUGAUGAAGGUCUUAGGUAAUUAGGUAAAAUUUCUUUACGACCGGGAAGAUAAGUGUAACGGUAACCCGGAAGAAGGAACGACCCCGGACUAACGUUCGUAGACCAG